Molecule: ribosomal RNA, 1802 nt
Filed under: Vibrio parahaemolyticus
Lineage: Bacteria; Pseudomonadati; Pseudomonadota; Gammaproteobacteria; Vibrionales; Vibrionaceae
Description: partial 23S ribosomal RNA
Rfam family: Bacterial large subunit ribosomal RNA
Source: RNAcentral
AGUCCGACGAUACAGGGUGAUAGUCCCGUAGUUGACGACGUGUGUUCAGUGAAAUCGAGUAGGGCGGGACACGUGAUAUCCUGUCUGAAUAUGGGGGGACCAUCCUCCAAGGCUAAAUACUACUGACUGACCGAUAGUGAACCAGUACCGUGAGGGAAAGGCGAAAAGAACCCCUGUGAGGGGAGUGAAAUAGAACCUGAAACCGUGUACGUACAAGCAGUAGGAGCAGGCUUUGUCCUGUGACUGCGUACCUUUUGUAUAAUGGGUCAGCGACUUAUAUUCAGUGGCAAGGUUAACCAUCUAGGGGAGCCGUAGGGAAACCGAGUCUUAACUGGGCGUUCAGUCUCUGGAUAUAGACCCGAAACCAGGUGAUCUAGCCAUGGGCAGGUUGAAGGUUGAGUAACAUCAACUGGAGGACCGAACCGACUAAUGUUGAAAAAUUAGCGGAUGACUUGUGGCUAGGGGUGAAAGGCCAAUCAAACCUGGAGAUAGCUGGUUCUCCCCGAAAGCUAUUUAGGUAGCGCCUCGGACGAAUACUACUGGGGGUAGAGCACUGUUAAGGCUAGGGGGUCAUCCCGACUUACCAACCCUUUGCAAACUCCGAAUACCAGUAAGUACUAUCCGGGAGACACACGGCGGGUGCUAACGUCCGUCGUGGAGAGGGAAACAACCCAGACCGCCAGCUAAGGUCCCAAAUUACUACUAAGUGGGAAACGAUGUGGGAAGGCUCAGACAGCCAGGAUGUUGGCUUAGAAGCAGCCAUCAUUUAAAGAAAGCGUAAUAGCUCACUGGUCGAGUCGGCCUGCGCGGAAGAUGUAACGGGGCUAAGUAGUAAACCGAAGCUGCGGCAAUAUACUUUUGUAUAUUGGGUAGGGGAGCGUUCUGUAAGCGGUUGAAGGUGUGUGGUAACGCAUGCUGGACGUAUCAGAAGUGCGAAUGCUGACAUGAGUAACGAUAAAGGGGGUGAAAAACCUCCUCGCCGGAAGACCAAGGGUUCCUGUCCAACGUUAAUCGGGGCAGGGUAAGUCGACCCCUAAGGCGAGGCCGAAAGGCGUAGUCGAUGGGAAACGGGUUAAUAUUCCCGUACUUCUUACAAUUGCGAUGGGGGGACGGAGAAGGCUAGGUGGGCCUGGCGACGGUUGUCCAGGUUCAAGUGCGUAGGCUUAAGAGUUAGGUAAAUCCGGCUCUUUCUAAGGCUGAGACACGACGUCGAGCACCUACGGGUGUGAAGUCAUUGAUGCCAUGCUUCCAGGAAAAGCCUCUAAGCUUCAGAUUGUAAGGAAUCGUACCCCAAACCGACACAGGUGGUCGGGUAGAGAAUACCAAGGCGCUUGAGAGAACUCGGGUGAAGGAACUAGGCAAAAUGGUACCGUAACUUCGGGAGAAGGUACGCUCUUGAUGGUGAAGUCCCUUGCGGAUGGAGCUGACGAGAGUCGCAGAUACCAGGUGGCUGCAACUGUUUAUUAAAAACACAGCACUGUGCAAAAUCGUAAGAUGACGUAUACGGUGUGACGCCUGCCCGGUGCCGGAAGGUUAAUUGAUGGGGUUAGACUUCGGUCGAAGCUCUUGAUCGAAGCCCCGGUAAACGGCGGCCGUAACUAUAACGGUCCUAAGGUAGCGAAAUUCCUUGUCGGGUAAGUUCCGACCUGCACGAAUGGCGUAAUGAUGGCCACGCUGUCUCCACCCGAGACUCAGUGAAAUUGAAAUCGCUGUGAAGAUGCAGUGUACCCGCGGCUAGACGGAAAGACCCCGUGAACCUUUACUACAGCUUGGCACUGAACAUUGACCCUACAUGUGUAGGA